GACGAACGCUGGCGGUGUGCUUAACACAUGCAAGUCGAACGGAAAGGCCCUGCUUUUGUGGGGUGCUCGAGUGGCGAACGGGUGAGUAACACGUGAGUAACCUGCCCUUGACUUUGGGAUAACUUCAGGAAACUGGGGCUAAUACCGGAUAGGAGCUCCUGCUGCAUGGUGGGGGUUGGAAAGUUUCGGCGGUUGGGGAUGGACUCGCGGCUUAUCAGCUUGUUGGUGGGGUAGUGGCUUACCAAGGCUUUGACGGGUAGCCGGCCUGAGAGGGUGACCGGCCACAUUGGGACUGAGAUACGGCCCAGACUCCUACGGGAGGCAGCAGUGGGGAAUAUUGCACAAUGGGCGGAAGCCUGAUGCAGCAACGCCGCGUGCGGGAUGACGGCCUUCGGGUUGUAAACCGCUUUCGCCUGUGACGAAGCGUGAGUGACGGUAAUGGAUAAAGAAGCACCGGCUAACUACGUG
This 468-nucleotide ribosomal RNA is filed under the name uncultured bacterium. RNAcentral describes it as "partial 16S ribosomal RNA". It matches the Rfam family "Bacterial small subunit ribosomal RNA", at positions 28 to 507 of the family's 1533-position model. The record is from RNAcentral.